UACGUAGGUGGCAAGCGUUGUCCGGAAUUAUUGGGCGUAAAGAGCGCGUAGGUGGGACUAUAAGUCUUAUGUAAAAGUGCGGGGCUCAACCCCGUAAAGCGUAAGAAACUGUGGUUCUUGAGUGCAGGAGAGGAAAGCGGAAUUCCCAGUGUAGCGGUGAAAUGCGUAGAUAUUGGGAGGAACACCAGUGGCGAAGGCGGCUUUCUGGACUGUGUCUGACACUGAGGCGCGAAAGCUAGGGGAGCGAACGGG
Molecule: ribosomal RNA, 252 nt
Filed under: uncultured bacterium
Lineage: Bacteria
Description: partial 16S ribosomal RNA
Rfam family: Bacterial small subunit ribosomal RNA
Source: RNAcentral